This is a non-coding RNA of Solanum lycopersicum (tomato), 1321 nucleotides long. The record is from RefSeq and is a predicted model, not a curated record. Lineage: Eukaryota; Viridiplantae; Streptophyta; Magnoliopsida; Solanales; Solanaceae.
UUCCCAGGCCAACAUACAAUACAAUUUAAAAGAAAAGAUAUUCCCAAUUUUCAGCCCAAUUUCCAUUCCAAAAAGGAACCGAAAGAACCCCAUCAGUUCAACAAACGUGACCCGACCCCUGCACCUUCAUCUUCUUCUCCGCGUGAACUACAGACAUGAAACAAGCAAAAUCACGUCCAACUCCAGACGCAAACCAGAGCGUGAGUACAGUAACCUAGAGCAUCGUUCCCUCCCUCUCUCCUUAUCUGUUUGCACGGAAACCAGGUGUUGAGAUCUCCCAUUGCCUUUGUCCUUUCUUCAGAAAGCAAAUGACUACUAUUAUCAAUCCGUUGAAGAGGUGUACAAUUUUUUGAGCUGGCAACCUUAUCCCGUUGAAGAGAAUUCGAAUUUGAAAUUCAAAAUUCAAUCGGUUUCCCCCUCUUUCUGCCCUAAUUCUCCCCUUAUAAAUAUCGGUUCAUUCUUUAUUGCUGGGAGUUGGAGAAAAAAGCAGAGGAAAUUUGGGAACUAGUAGAGGGAAAAGGGUUGGAGAUAGUUACAGUGAGUUGGGGGAAAAAAGUAUGGAAGUUUUUUUGAAUAGUCACAUUUAUAUUCAAGAACUUUUAUAUGUUUUCUUUAAUCCUAAGUUGUGAGAGAACCUUUGUUCCAGUCUUGUUUGCAUUUCGUGGUGAGCUACUCGAGAUUCGAACUUGUGUGGUGGAAGAGCUUGUCCGUACUCGUUUGGUCUCAUUUCGCUGGCUUGAGAAAGGGUACAGAUGAUAUCACAAACGAUGAUGGUAUACCGGAACUAUUGAACUGGUGGAGGAAUCGUGGAGAUCAAUUUCCAAAACUUAGUAGGAUGGUGAAGGAUGUGCUUGCAAUUCAAAGAUCAUCAGUAGCUUCAAAGGCAACUUUCAGCGCGGGCAAGAUUUCAAAUUGGAGACCACAGAUAUUCGUUAGCAGAAGACAACUUGGAGAUAUCAGUGUUAUUUAGAGACUGGAUAAAUGCUGAGCGUAGAAAUCAAGGACUUCCAAAGUUAGAUAGUCAAUUUGAACUUUUCAUAGAUUCAACUAUUGAAUGUGGUAGUGAUGAUGGCAUCAAAAUUCAAGAUCGUCAACGAGCUUUACCAAGACCAGAAGUUGAUCACAAUCAAUCCAUAUUUGAGUUAGAAAGAGGAUUUACAGGACUAUACAACUAUUAGUAUUGCAUUCGAGAUAUAGUUGAAACAGAACCCUUCCUAGAAGGUGGCUGCGUAAGCUAUGUACUCUACUAAUAGUUGUAAAUUGAAAUUGUAAUUUGUUACAAAUUUAAAUAAAUUAAAUUGAUAUUUUUUAAUUUUUGUAA